AAUGUCCUACGGGAAGCAGCAGUAGGGAAUCUUCGGCGAUGGGGGCAACCCUGACCGAGCAACGCCGCGUGAGUGAAGAAGGUGUUCGGAUCGUAAAGCUCUGUUGUAAGUCAAGAACGGGUGUGAGAGUGGAAAGUUCACACUGUGACGGUAGCUUACCAGAAAGGGACGGCUAACUACGUGCCAGCAGCCGCGGUAAUACGUAGGUCCCGAGCGUUGUCCGGAUUUAUUGGGCGUAAAGCGAGCGCAGGCGGUUUGGUAAGUCUGAAGUUAAAGGCUGUGGCUCAACCAUAAUUCGCUUUGGG
Molecule: ribosomal RNA, 305 nt
Filed under: uncultured bacterium
Lineage: Bacteria
Description: bacterial SSU rRNA
Rfam family: Bacterial small subunit ribosomal RNA
Source: RNAcentral